RNAcentral lists this long non-coding RNA (501 nucleotides) under Homo sapiens (human). RNAcentral describes it as "non-protein coding lnc-CA4-1:1". Lineage: Eukaryota; Metazoa; Chordata; Mammalia; Primates; Hominidae. The record is from RNAcentral.
CUGUUACAGUCUACUAUGUUCCUCAUGCACCUUCCACUCAGCACAAACAGGCUGCACUGCCUCUGAAACGCAUCACUUGAAUCCUGCCUCUGCUCCUUUGUCCAUCUGAAUCACCCUCUCCACAUUUCUGACCCAGUAAUCCUAAUCUCACUUUAUGAGGCAGUUCGCUUCCCUUUUGCAUUUCCCUGGGGUACACUGUCAAUAGCCUAGUGUCUGAUGUCAUCAGUCAGCACUUCAUCAGAGGCAAUUAUGUCUACAGAGCUUUUGGCUAAUUACUGUCACUCCUUACAUGUGUGCAUAUGCAUAUCAUCUUUCCCUAAUGAGACUGGAAAUAAUGAUUCAUUCCCUGGAGCAGUGGUUUCCAUAAAUGACCAACCCACAGACCAGUGCAAACUGGCUGUGAAAGAGCUUCCUCUGAGGAACUUAUUAGAAUGCAGAUUCUUGGACUGCAUGGGAGAGGAGGAUCUCAUAAAUCUGGGUGUAAUAGGCACAGAACAUUAG